RNAcentral lists this ribosomal RNA (254 nucleotides) under uncultured bacterium. RNAcentral describes it as "partial 16S ribosomal RNA". It matches the Rfam family "Bacterial small subunit ribosomal RNA", at positions 524 to 776 of the family's 1533-position model. The record is from RNAcentral.
UACGAAGGGGGGCUAGCGUUGCUCGGAAUUACUGGGCGUAAAGAGCUCGUAGGUGGUUUGUCGCGUUGUCCGUGAAAACUCACAACUCAAUUGUGGGCGUGCGGGCGAUACGGGCAGACUGGAGUACUGCAGGGGAGACUGGAAUUCCUGGUGUAGCGGUGGAAUGCGCAGAUAUCAGGAGGAACACCGGUGGCGAAGGCGGGUCUCUGGGCAGUAACUGACGCUGAGGAGCGAAAGCGUGGGGAGCGAACAGG